CUAGCAUAUCAAUAAGCGGAGGAAAAGAAACUAACAAGGAUUCCCCUAGUAACUGCGAGUGAAGCGGGAAAAGCUCAAAUUUAAAAUCUGGCGGUUCUGCCGUCCGAGUUGUAAUCUGGAGAAGUGUUUUCCGUGCUGGACCGUGUACAAGUCUCUUGGAACAGAGCGUCAUAGAGGGUGAGAAUCCCGUCUUUGACACGGACUACCAGUGCUUCUGUGAUACACUCUCAAAGAGUCGAGUUGUUUGGGAAUGCAGCUCAAAAUGGGUGGUAAAUGCCAUCUAAAGCUAAAUAUUGGCGAGAGACCGAUAGCGAACAAGUACCGUGAGGGAAAGAUGAAAAGCACUUUGGAAAGAGAGUUAAACAGUACGUGAAAUUGUUGAAAGGGAAACGCUUGAAGUCAGUCGCGUUGCUUAGGAUUCAGCCUUGCUUUUUUGCUUGGUGUACUUCCUGGGUGACGGGCCAACAUCGAUUUUGACCGGUGGAUAAAGUCGAGGGGAAUGUGGCUCCUUUGGGAGUGUUAUAGCCCUUUGUCGCAUGCAUCGGUUGGGAUCGAGGACCGCAGCACGCCUUUUUGGCCGGGGUUCGCCCACGUAACGUGCUUAGGAUGUUGGCAUAAUGGCUUUAAUCGACCCGUCUUGAAACACGGACCAAGGAGUCUAACAUGCCCGCGAGUGUUAGGGUGGAAAACCCUUGCGCGUAAUUAAAGUGAAAGUUGGGACCCUUGUCAUGGGGGGCACCGACGCCCGGCCUUGAACUUCUGUGACGGCGCCGCGGUAGAGCGUGUAUGUUGGGACCCGAAAGAUGGUGAACUAUGCCUGAAUAGGGCGAAGCCAGAGGAAACUCUGGUGGAGGCUCGUAGCGAUUCUGACGUGCAAAUCGAUCGUCAAAUUUGGGUAUAGGGGCGAAAGAC
RNAcentral lists this ribosomal RNA (912 nucleotides) under Rickenella minuta. RNAcentral describes it as "LSU rRNA". It matches the Rfam family "Eukaryotic large subunit ribosomal RNA", at positions 34 to 931 of the family's 3401-position model. The record is from RNAcentral. Lineage: Eukaryota; Fungi; Basidiomycota; Agaricomycetes; Hymenochaetales; Rickenellaceae.